Molecule: long non-coding RNA, 675 nt
Filed under: Capsicum annuum
Lineage: Eukaryota; Viridiplantae; Streptophyta; Magnoliopsida; Solanales; Solanaceae
Description: long non-coding RNA (CANN_LNC011440)
Source: RNAcentral
CCUGAACUAUUAUAGUGUUAGCACUAUACGUGGAUUACCUACAAAGCACACCUCCAAAUAUUGCCAUAUAUCAGCUACUAGCAUUAGGGAAGAAACUUCAUUCACUUAUUCUUCAAACAAUGUUGCAAAGAACCAACUGUAAAGAACAAAAGAGAGCGAAAUUAAUAACAGCCUUCAAAUUAUGAUAUUCUCAUGCCUAACACUAUUACAAAAGGAAUUAUCAGCUAGGCUUCAAACUUAGUCUUUUCCAUAAGCACAAAAAUACUAUUAGAAGCUAGAAAUUAGGGCACUAAAAUUCUAUGGAACUUUGAAACUAUUUCCGCAAAUCAUAGAAGCUGAAAGAAGCAUGAAUAUCUAUUUUUAUAGACGGCUAGAGGUCAAACAAAAGCAGUUGGAGCACUCAAAGUCAGAGCAGUGGUCGAUUGGAGCACUGGUGGUUAGAGCGAUAGUUGGAGUAGUAGAUUGGAGCAUCGAUUUGAGAUACAAUCGAUCCUCGUGUGAAGUUUUUGUUAAUUUUGAAAUGCAUUGGAGCACUAAUUUGAACAUUUCGAGCAUUGAUUUGAAAAUUUGUAGCACUGAUUGGAAGAUCGGAGACGCAAAGUGUUCGAUUGGAUCGAUCGAUUGAAACUUUUAUUUGUUAACCCAACGAGUUAACUUGAUACCCCAAAGUCGAUC